This 10030-nucleotide long non-coding RNA is filed under the name Durio zibethinus. RNAcentral's name for it is "long non-coding RNA (DZIB_LNC001586)". The record is from RNAcentral. Lineage: Eukaryota; Viridiplantae; Streptophyta; Magnoliopsida; Malvales; Malvaceae.
UUUCAGAUGUAUUCCUAAUAAUUUUUAUAAAUUUUUUGCUUUUUUUUUUAAGCCAUAGACAUCAACAUGAACAUAUUUGUAAACUGACAACUGAUAAUAUCCAAACGAAGCCUAUAAUCCUAGUAAUUUCUCUUAUUCAACUAUUGUCAAUCUAAAACUUCUAUGAACAUGUAAUAUAGAUCAAGUCAAGCGUGCACAACUGGAUUGGGAAAGGCGCUACAAAAUCAUAGGAGGAAUUGCUCGUGGGCUCCUUUACCUUCACGAGGAUUCUCGACUUAGGAUAAUUCAUCGGGACCUUAAGGCAAGCAACGUUUUGUUAGAUGCAGAUAUGGUUCCUAAAAUUGCAGAUUUUGGGAUGGCAAGGUUGUUUGUUCGGGAUGAAACACAAGGCAAUACCAGCAGAAUUGUGGGCACCUAGUAAGUAUCAAAAUAUUGAUUGAGCUUUGAAUUGUUUAUUGUAUGAACGGAUUCCAGCACUGUAUAUGUCAUAGAAACAGCAUGAAACUCCAAAAAAACGAUUUAGUUACAUUCUAUCUUUAAGAAAACCUUGUUCGUCAAAAUUGAGAAUGACAUUAGAAAUGUUCAUCUGCAGUGGAUAUAUGGCACCAGAGUAUGCUAUGCACGGGCAAUUCUCAGUAAAAUCAGAUGUUUUCAGUUUUGGUGUGUUGAUUUUGGAAAUUAUAAGUGGUCAGAAAAAUAAUUGCUUCCGAAAUGGGGAGACGGUGGAGGACCUACUAAGCUGUGUAAGUAUACUCUGUAAAGUCAUAUUUGUUUCUUUUUGGUUAGACAUUUGCACCAUUAUUUGUCUACAAAUUGAUAAUUUUUUGCUGCAGGCAUGGAAAAAUUGGAGGGAAGGGACAGCAUUGAAUAUCAUUGAUCCAACUUUGAGAGAUGGUUCGGGAAAUGAAAUGAUGAGAUGCAUCCACAUUGGAUUGCUAUGCGUUCAAGAAAAAGUAGCUGACAGACCAACCAUGGCAACAGUUGUUCUGAUGCUUAAUAGCUUCUCAAUCUCCCUCCCGCUGCCCUCACAGCCAGCAUUUUUUAUGCACAGCAACAUUGAAUCUGAUAUGUCAUCCUCGUUGGGUUAUAAUUCUCAGAUGACAGAGUCCAACGAAUUCAAAAGCGCAGCACUUCCAUUGUCCACGAACGAGGUUACAAUUACUGAUCUCUAUCCUCGAUAGUGUUUGAGAAUUGAAUCGUUCGAUGUCACUCGCUGCACCACUUCAACUUGGAUUUGUCUCCACAGUGGUAGGAGCUGGUGAGAGUUUAGACAAAGAUUAUUAGUUGUAAAAUUGAUGCUCUAAAAAAAUGGUGUUGCUUUGCUUCAUGUCAAUAACAACUUCCAAUUCCUGAAUUUGGUGUUCUUGCCCACCGGUAUACGCUAUACAUGCACAUCUUAAAUCAAACUCUGAGUAUAGUUUUUUUUUCCUGUUUAUUGAACUUAUGAUCAUAACUUAUGGGUGUAAAAAUUAUGUAUGAAUAUCAUUUUGUUUGAUUAGAAAUGGGAAAAAAGGAUUGAAAGACUCGUUUCAUUUUGUUUCAUAAGUAAAUGUUGCAUCUAAGCCUUUUAAUUUGAUUCAGCAAUUAAGUACAAUUACAAGUCUUCAUGAACCAUUAAUGAAUAUUUGCCAUGAUAUUCGGUUUCUUUUAUUGAAGGACAGUUGUACAUAAUAAACUUGCCGUACAAUUAAUGUUUCAAACUCCAUAGUUGUAGGGAGAGAGUGAAUGCGGGUUCUUUGUUAGUUUUAACAUUUCAUUAAAUUGAAAAAAAAAUAGAAUCAGUGGUUAUAUUAUAUUAUAAUAUGUUAUUUAUCCUAUCAAUUUGGUUUAAAAUAUUUGUAUUCAUGACAUAAUAUAUAGUUAUCAAAUAAAUUCAAAUGUUAGUUCAAUCAAUUUAUGGAUAAAUCAAUUAAUUUUUAAAUGAAAUAUUACACAUAAAUCAAUAAAUUAUUAUAACUCAAGAAUAAAAAAUGUUACAACAAAAUGGUGCGGCAAAUAAUAUUUUUUAUAGUAUUAUUUAUCCAUAUAUUAAUUAGUUAACUUAAAAUUUACCUCUUUAUAAACUUCCUAAAAAAAUUUUUUUGUUAGCAAAAGAUAUAACUUGAGAGAAAAGGGGUUUCAAUACCAAAAUUUCUUUAAAACAUAAAUGUGAUUAACGGGACUAAACUUGUUUCAGCACAAUCCACAAGAGACUUGUAUAAAUUUUUUAAUAAUAAGUGACUCGUUCAAUAUCUCUAGAGGAAUCAAUUCGCCUUUCCAUGCCAACUAAGCAAAAAUAAUUACUUAUAGUAUAUGGUCACUUAAUUGCAAGUUUAAUUAACUUGCAUUCUAUACGUUUUAUUUGUAUAUUUAUUUUUGAGAAAAUAAUAAUAAUAGACUAAUAUUUUGUGGUCCGUUUCAAAUGAGAUUAGGAUUUUUUUUAUGUAUUAUUUAUUAAUAAUUAAAAAAAUCAUUAUUACUAUUAUAAAAGGUCUAAGAUAGCUUACAUAAAUUUCAUUUUUAAUAAAGAAAAAACAAGGAUUAUUAUUGCAACAUGCGAUGGCUUUGUCUCAACUACUUCAAACAACUCCAUGUUCAGGCGUAUUAUUGAAGAGUUUAAUUUCCAUGUGAUGACAGAGUGUUUCAAUUCGAUGGAUUUGAUUAGUCUUAAACUCUUGUCAUAAUCACAGCCGAACCACCCAAUUUCUUUGAACUCAAGUCAUGAUCAUAAAAGGAAAUAACCAUAGAAAAAUAAACUUUUCCAACACAACUUUAAAAUAUAGUAGUCAAACUUUAGAAGUUUAAGCAAAAUUUUAAAUUUAUAAAUAAAAUAUUAUAAAUUAACCAAUUAAUGAAUCAAUUAAUAAAUUAAUAUAUUAAUUUAUUAUUAAAUAAUUUUAAUAUAAAAUUAAAUCAAAUUUGAUAAGACUUUAAUAUUAAAUUUUAAAAAAUUUCAAAAAAUUUUCGUUAAAGUUGACACAAAAUCUUUUUGCCACCCUUUUUGAUUUGACCCAGUGCAAAGCCGAAAUUGAUUUAUUCAACAUAGAUAAUUAUAAAACCUUAUGAAUCAAAAGUAUUUUUGUAGGACUUCCAGACUGAUGUUGGAUCGAUUUUCAAGGAUUAGAUUAAAAUGAUGGGAAUGGGUUCUUCAAGACUUCUUUUCCUUUUAGCUCUUAACCUUGUUCUCAGUGUCAGCAGCGCCCAGAACUCUCUGUUAUUUCCAAGUUGUUCAGACGAUGAGGUAACUUAUACCGCCAACAAUACCUACGAAGCAAACCUCAACAACCUACCGUCUUCUUUCUCCUCUAUAGCUGCAAAUGAUUACGGCUUCUACAACAUGUCCGUCGGCCAAAACACCGACAGAGUUAACGCGGUUGCCCUUUGUAGAGGAGAUAUUAACCCUGACGUUUGCCUUAGUUGCAUUAAUAAUGCUACCACUGAGCUAACAAAUCGGUGUCCCAACAGGAUGGAAGCAGCUAUUUGGUAUGACUAUUGUGUGUUGGGCUACUCAAAUCGCUCCAUCUUGGGUGUCAUGGAAACUAGCUUUUUUUUUCUAUUUGACGAACCCUAUGAGUUUAACGAAUCUGGUCAGUUUUAAUGCAUCGCUGAGUAAUUUGCUGUUUCAACUGAUAGAAAGAGCCGCAUCAGGAGGUUCUCUACGCAAGUAUGCAAGAGGAAAUGUUGACGAUUCAAAUUUCAAACCAAUAUAUGCACUUGUGCAGUGCACUCCUGAUUUGUCCCUGCCUUGGAGAGAUCUUUUCAACAGAUUCCACAAUGUUGUACCGGAAGACGAGGAGGCAGGGUAAUUACGACUAGCUGUAGUCUACAGUUUGAGAUGGAACGUUUCUACAAUGCUUCACCCGGUACAACACCACCCUCGCCAUCUCCUCCUCCGCCUUCCAAUGAAACCACAAACUCAACAUAUAAAACACCUAUUCUCUGCUUCAAAUCUGUUGAGUCAAACCGUCCUAUAAGUGCUCCAUAUCUGUGUCUCCUUUUCUGUCUCUUUUCAAUGUUCUGAAUUGUUAUUCUUUUUUUGCUUUCUUAAUUCAGGACUUGAUUAAUCAGCAAGCUUUGUUAUGAAAUCAAAUGUUUGGUUUUUUGCAGGAAAUAAGAACAACACAUCUCGAAUUGUCAUCGCUGUCGUUGUUCCAUCUGCCAGUGUUAUGAUACUUAUCAUCUGUGUCUACCUUUUUUUGAGAGCUAAAAAGAGGAAGGAAACUGUUGAAAGUAAGAUUAAACGUCUUUCCAACAAUUUUAUGGGAAAAGAUUAUUUAUUUAUUUAGAAAAGCUUUUGGGUGUCAAACUUGCUAAUUUAGCCAUAUAUAUCAAGUUCAACCUUUAGUAAUGAUAAUUACUUGCUCCUCGCAGGUAUGGAUGAAGAAAUUAUCAGUGCAGAGUCUUUGCAAUUUGAUUUUGGCACCAUUAGAACUGCAACAAAUAACUUUUCUGAUGAAUAUAAGCUUGGGCAAGGUGGCUUUGGUGCCGUUUACAAGUUGAAGGAGAAAUAAAUAUCUCUGUUUUCUAAUUCUUGAUGUAAUGUAAGUGUUUGACGUAUAUAUACUUUAUUCCAUUCCAAUGUUUUUCAGGGUAGGCUUUCCUCUGGAGAAGAUAUAGCUGUAAAAAGGUUAUCCAGGGAAUCUGGACAAGGAGAUUUAGAAUUCAAGAAUGAAGUCCUCUUGGUGGCCAAACUUCAACACCGAAAUUUAGUCCGACUUCUUGGUUUCAGCCUGGAAAGAACUGAAAGAUUUCUUGUCUAUGAGUUUGUACCUAAUGCAAGCCUCGACCGCUUCAUAUUUCGUAUGGCUGCAUUUAAUCUUGAAUUCACUUAAAUUUCAGAUUUUGGCAUGGCAAGAUCAUGUGCUGUUGAUCAAACUGAAGGUGCUACUAGUAGAAUCGUGGGAACAUAGUAAGUACUAGAAAUAUUUAGAGUCAAUAAUUACACUUCAAUUUGCAUCAUAUAAAUAACAGAAUAAUCUUGGCUGAUACAUUAUCAUUCUCACUUGAAUAAGAUAAAUCAAACAAUUCAAAGGUUGAAAACUAAGUUUCCUUUUAUUGAUUUAUAGCGGAUACAUGGCGCCCGAAUAUGCAAUGCAUGGUCAAUUUUCUGUUAAGUCUGACGUUUUCAGUUUUGCUGUACUACUUUUGGAGAUAUUAAGUGGUCAGAAAAUUAGUGCUUUCCGUAACGGGAAUAAUGUAGAUCUACUAAGCUAUGUAAGUAGUAAUAUCCUUUGUGCCCGAGUUCGAGACUGCCACUCAUGAAAUUUAUUCAAAGCAUUAAAAGAAUUUACUGUUUAAUAAUUUGCAUGAACUAAACCCCUUCAGGCUUGGAGAAAUUGGAAGGAUGGGACAGCACUGGAUCUUGUAGAUCCCACUUUGAAGGAUGGUUCAAGAACUGAGCUGAUGAGAUGCAUCCACAUUGGGCUGCUUUGUGUUCAAGAAAACGUAGCCGAGAGACCAGACAUGGCUUCAGUUGUUCUGAUGCUAACAAGCAACUCUGUCACUCUCCCACUACCCUCAUAACCAGCAUUUUUUAUGCACAACACUCAAUCAGAGGUUCAAUGGUCGCAGGACUUAAAUUCAAGGGCAACAAAUUCCUGUCAAUCGAAAAGCGAGGUUUCAAUUACCGAGCUGUAUCCAAGAUAGCAAGCAGCUGGUCACAUUUGUAAGCAUUUCUUUGUCAAAUUCAAUACCAUUGUCAUUUAUGAUUGUCAUUUGUAAUUGUCAGUUUGAUCUCAUUUAUACCCUUAGACCGUCCUUGUCAUUUGUGAAGUAUGCCGGGGUUAAUCAAAUAUGUUAUCAUUCUUUUUUUCUUUUUGAAUAAGAAUUCAUUUGAAUGAAAAGUAAGAUUGAUUCGGUGAAAGUAAAAAUAUUAAUGGAGGUAUGAUUAAUUAUUAAUAAUAAAUAAUAAUAUUUAUUUAAUUUAUAUAUUAAUAUAUUAUAUAAUAGUUUUUUUAUUUUAUUAAAUUAAUGAAAGUACUUUUAUAAUUUUUAAAUGAAAAAAUUAAAAUGUUAUGGAAAAAAUAAAAAAAAUUAAAAUGAAAAAAAUUGGCUCAAUUAGUAUUAAAAUAAGAUUUAGGGGUAAAAAUAAAUAAAUAAAAUUCACGGGCAUCGAUGAUCUGCUUUCAUCGCAUCGGUCAUCUGUUUGAAUAUCCAUAGAUCAUUGGACACAAAAAAUAAUAAUAAUAAUAAUCUCUCAUAGAAAGUCCAAUCUCAUCCUAAGUCGCUUUGAAAUAUAAAUGUAGUAGUGCGUGCGAUACCUAUUAGUCAACAGAUUACGUUGGUUUUUUGACUAAUUGAUAUAAACUAUAUCAGGCCACGUUCUCUACCACGAAUCUGCCAGCUGUCACGGUUGGACUCCCGUAUUUUAAGCUGCACAUCGACAUGUGCUUUAGCCUAAUCAACCACUGAUGAUAUGCAAAUAAUUGUCAUGUAGAUAAACAAUCAUAAAAAAAAAAAAAAAUGGAAAUCUUCCUGUUUGACUGGCAAAGUGUUUGAUUUUGACACGGCAUUAUAAUUGCCACAAGCAAAUAAAAGUAAAGCAUGGGCCCUUCUUGUAUUCAAUGGAGACGGAAUCAACCUCGAGGCGUCACAGCUUAUCUUUUCCACCAGUCCCAUAUCCAUCGACGGCUCUUUUUUUUUUUUUUUUAAAUUUUGAAUCUUCUUUUGGUUUUAAACAUAGCGUGUGAACUAUGAAGCCCUUCCAGCAAUUUCUUACGAAAGAACUUAUGACUAGCCCAAAAUUAAAAAUUUCAACAUGAUCAUACAAAUCUUCUAUAUCAUUGUCGAGACCUUGAAUUAGCAUAGCAGGCUGUUGGACUGAUGUUUUGAGAGAGCUAGCCAUUGCUGAUCAAUUAGAGUCUUCAACAUUUGCAAAGAGAAUUAAUGAUCAAGAAAUAAAUUUAGUCCAUACAAUAAAACCCACCAACUGGGCCGGAUAGAAAACUUAUAAAAAGCUUAUGGACCAAAAAGUCUAAAUAGAAUUAUUUAAACGUAACAAUGACGAAACAUUGACAAUCCUCUCCAAUUAUUUUAUUUUGUUUUUAAUGACAAUCCAAUAUUUGCAUUUACAAGUUCUGUAGGUUAAUUCAGGUCAGUUUUAUUGGUAACCUAAACAUCUACUCUAGUUAACUACAGUGUGAAUACGCCGUAUAAAUGAAUAACGAUCAAACCGGUGCCCAGUGAAAAUUCCGCCUUUGGGGCACAAAGAAAGCCCAGUUGGUCCAUGGCGACUUGUCGCCAACCACUGCCAUCUUUAUCAACCUGUUGUCCUAUCUACUCGCCCAACUAAUAUAUGAAAUAAUUAUAAUAUACAUAAAUCUAUGGGUUACAUCAACAUGCGCAAAAAUAUCAUGCGCACCAUCCAAAUUACUUUAUUAAAUAUUGGUAUCUGGAAGGUCGUUUCAGAAAAGUCGCAAUAUCUCAAUUCGGUUUAGUAAUUUAUUAAUGCUUUCACCAUUUAAGCAGCUAUGUUUAUAAAGUCUCAUAUAGAAAAAAAAAAUUGGAAGAGCAGAGAGACGGUAUGGCAAUUGGAUCUCCAAGACUGCUUCUCUUGUUUUAUUCGGUUCUCCCAUUCCUUGCUACUCUCACCCUAGCAGCCGAUCAAUACUUUCAGGAUCGUUGUAUAAGCACAGCAGGUAACUAUACUGCAAACAGCACUUACCAGGCCAACCUCAACAACAUCUUCUCUCAACUUACCUCUCUGACGGAAUUCAACUAUGGGUUCUAUAAUCUGUCUGCUGGUGAUGAAAACGCCACCAAAGUUAAUGCAAUAGCACUUUGCAGGGGGGACAUAAACCAAACUGUUUGCAACAGCUGCCUCAAUGACACCAUAUCUGAACUCAGGCAGCGAUGUCCCUUUUACAAGGAGGUGAUUGGAUGGUCUGAAUAUUGUAUGCUGCGCUACGCCAACCGAGACAUCUUUGGAGAAAUGGAAGACUCUCCUGGCACUUGUCUACUCAACACACAGGACGUAGCGAAUGCUGAUCAGUUCAAUCAGGCAUUGGAUAACCUGUUGAAUAAUCUGAGCAGUCUAGCCGCAGCUGGGGGUCCUCUUCGCAAGUAUGCAGCAGAUAACUAUCCGGUGGGUGCCUUUCAAACAGUAUACGCUCAAGAACAGUGCACUCCUGAUUUGUCCGAGCAAGAAUGUGGUAAUUGUCUAACUGAGGCUAAGCAAGGGAUUGGAGGUUGCUGCUUGGGGAAGAUGGGAUGCAGGGUUCUUCGACCAAGCUGUUUCUUGAGGUUUGAGUCUAGCUCAUUUUAUCAGACUCCAAUUCCUCUACCGUCGCCUCCACCGUCUCCAACUUCUUCUCCUCCUCCAGGAGGUAAAUUAUCUAGUCUUGCCGAUAAAAAUAUUUCUUUCUCUUUCAUUUAAAAUGAUUACUAGGUGUAGUUCGAUCAAAUUAAUUGUCUUCUGGAUAACCAUAUAUCAUUUUCCAUACUUCUUUCAACUAGAAACCAAAAUUUUUUUGUUCUAAGAAAAAAAACCACUCCAAAUCCCUGAAUAAUUCGAUUGUUCUUAUUUCCCAUGUUACAAAUUAGUUUCUUAAUAAUAGAAAUCAUUUUCGAUUAAAAAUAAAGAAAAAAAUAGGGGUAUUAGAAUUCAAGGGAAAAAUGCUACUAUUUACGUAAAAUUUUUUGGUAAGGACUCACAGGGUAAAUAGAAGAAACAGAAUAAACAGAGCAAAGCACUUAAAAAGAAAAUAAAAUUAGUUAGAGACGAGCACCAAUAUGUAGCGGUUUAAUAUGUGACAACCAGAUUUGAAGGAUUUAUUAUGUGGUCUUGUGGGAAUUUUCUUCAUUGUCUUCUAGGUUUAUCCAUUCAAUGUGUAAUUAUAUAGAAUUCUAAUUCUGAUUGGAGCCACACUUAUGAAUUUUGCAGGAAACGGCAAUAAUACAACUCGUAUUGUCAUAAUUGUUGUUGCCUCAGUUGUUGGAGUUCUGAUACUGAUUACCUCCAUCUGCAUCUUUUGGAGAGUCAGGAAGACCCAUGAAAAACUUGGAAGUAAGUAAUAUUACUCCCUAAUGCAAUAUGAUAAUGGACUUGAUUCAGUAAAAUAUAUAGGAAAAAGGCUUUCAAGUAUUAGCUGCUAGCUGGUGAAGAAUCGUGAUGAAUAAGCAAAGAUUACUGUCAAUAACCAGUGAAUAAGUUUAUGAUAUCCAGUAGAAUUUACUUGAAAUGCGUGCAAAAUGCCAUUUUUUAUCUGCAAGUGUAAACAUUUUGCUUCUUGCAGCUGAUGAUGAGGUUAUUAGGGCUGAGUCCCUGCAAUUCGACUUUGCCACAGUUCGGGUUGCAACUAAUAACUUUUCUGAUGCAAAUAAGCUUGGUCAAGGUGGAUUUGGAGCUGUUUACAAGGUAAAGAGCUCAGCUAAUUGGAAAAGAAUAUUAAAUUGUCUCAAACUAUGAAAGCUUAACCUAAAUUAUGAAAUCAAUUUAAAAUCUCUUAUGGUCCAUUAUUCUAUUUUCAGGGUCGGCUUCCAAAUGGACAAGAGGUUGCUGUGAAAAGACUAUCCAUGAAUUCUGGACAAGGAGACCAAGAGUUUAAGAAUGAGGUCCUGUUAGUGGCGCAGCUUCAACACCGCAAUUUAGUUAGGCUCCUUGGCUUCUGCUUGGAAGGACAUGAAAAGCUUCUCAUUUAUGAGUUUGUGCCAAACACAAGCCUUGAUCAUUUCAUAUUUGGUACAAUUUCCGUUUCACUUUCAGAUGUAUUCCUAAUAAUUUUUAUAAAUUUUUUGUUUUUUUUUUAAGCCAUGGACAUCAACAUGAACAUAUAUGUAAACUGACAAGGGAUAAUAUCCAAACGAAGCCUAUAAUCCUAGUAAUUUCUCUUAUUCCACUAUAGUCAAUCUAAAGCUUCUACGAACAUGUAAUAUAGAUCAAGUCAAGCGUGCACAACUGGAUUGGGAAAGGCGCUACAAAAUCAUAGGAGGAAUUACUCGUGGGCUCCUUUACCUUCACGAAGAUUCUCGACUUAGGAUAAUUCAUCGGGACCUUAAGGCAAGCAACGUUUUGUUAGAUGCAGAUAUGGUUCCUAAAAUUGCAGAUUUUGGG